Molecule: ribosomal RNA, 515 nt
Filed under: Caberea rostrata
Lineage: Eukaryota; Metazoa; Bryozoa; Gymnolaemata; Cheilostomatida; Candidae
Description: partial 16S ribosomal RNA
Rfam family: Bacterial large subunit ribosomal RNA
Source: RNAcentral
AUAGCUUCUGGAAUUUAUAUGAAGUGACGUCUGCCCGGUGAUCUACGGAUUUAACGGCCGCGAUUUUCGUGCUAAGGUAGCAUAAUAAUUUGUCUUUUUAUUGGAGACUGGAAUGAAUGGAUAAUUACGAGGCUCAGCUGUCUCUAUUUAUUGGUAAAAAAUUGAUUUAAAAGUGAAAAAUCUUUUAUAGCUGUGUAGGACGAAAAGACCCUGUAGAGUUUGUAGUGAAAUUGACUAUUUUAUGUUGAUUUUUUAUUUUUAUACAUGUUAUGGUCUAAUGCACUUUUAUUGGGGCAAUAGAAGAAAAUUUAAAAUUCUAAAUUUAUAAUUUUAUGACAAUAAAAUUUUGAUCCUUAAAAAGAAUUAGGAAAAACUACCUCAGGGAUAACAGCGUAAUCUUACCAGAGAGAACUAAUCGAAGGAAGGGUUUGCGACCUCGAUGUUGGACUAAGGUAUCUUUAUGGUGCAGAAGCUAUAAAUAGUAGGCCUGUUCGGCCUUUAAAACCUUACAUGAU